GUCGCAAGCAAGAAUGUGAGUUAGAGUGAGCAUCCCUAAAAAAAGAAUUUCAAAUUCUAUAUUUUUGAGAGAAUUUGAAAUCCCACUAUUUUAGUCUGUCGCAACCUACCUUACGACG
This 118-nucleotide microRNA precursor is filed under the name Glycine max (soybean). Its description in RNAcentral is "miR5772 stem-loop (gma-MIR5772)". Lineage: Eukaryota; Viridiplantae; Streptophyta; Magnoliopsida; Fabales; Fabaceae. The record is from miRBase by way of RNAcentral.